AAAACAGCCAGAUUUUAUGUGCCAUAUGGGCCCAUUUUCAAAACCUUCAAAGAAUUAUAAUAAUUCAUAAUCCCAUUUUCAUACACUCUAAAUCAAACUAGUCUUUUUUUUUAAGAUUAUUUAUUUGAGAGAAAUAAACUGUGCAUGAGCAGGGGGAAGGGCAGAGGAAGAGGCAUGGAGCCCAACAUCGGGCUUGAUCCCAUGAGAUCACGACCUGAGGCAAGGGCAGACGCUGAACCGAUGGAGCCUCCCAGGUGCCACUAAAUCAAACUAGUCUUUGAUAGAAAGUUGAAUAUGAAGUUCAGUUUCCCUGUAGAGUGAUUUUCUUGGUUGGAAUUGUUCAGGGUUGCUGUGCUGAUUCCCCAUGCUGCCGGGGCUCAGGGUGGAGUCUUUCCCUGGAGCACACCCAAAUGGCUGAAGGUCUCAAGCACUUGGAAACAUAUGAAAGUUUUCAGGGAUGUUUUUGCAAAUUUAAAAUGUGUUUAAUGACCAUCUCUGCAAGCUGGAUGGACCUAAAAGUCCCACUCCCAUCAUUUCACUGAUGGAUCUCCUCAAAGUGCUUGGGACUCCACACUGGACCAGUGGCGGAGAAAGACACAGCAAAAGAAAAAAUUCUGCUCCCGUGGAAGUAGCUAGCACAGCUCCUGUUUCUCAUUUUAAAUGUUGGAAUAAAGCACUUAGAACAGAUUUGAAUGUGAACUUUGAGGUUUAGAAUGGCCUACUCAAGAGAAUUUUAAAAGACAUGUUAGAUGUGCCCCUCCGAUGGUUAAUUCUGAUUUUUAAUCUGCCGUUCGACAGCCGGUGGUGUGGAUUGUUGAUGCAAAGGAUAAAUUGAGGAGCAGAAUGAGGAGGAGGCCUCUGGGCAGUUGGCAUCUCUGGAGAAGUUUCUCAGAAAGCGCUUGCUGGAAAGAUCUGCACCGAGGUUGGACAGGAGAUGGGGGACCCUCUUCCAAAUUCGCCUUGUCUACCGUAGGUGCUGCACUCGUGGGCAGCUCUAGAGGGGCAGGGCAGGAAAACCCGGCCUUGAGGAAACCGCUUACCAGAGAGCAGCUCCCAGGGACCUCCGACGUGGGGUUUGGAGUUGCGGCUGCCCUGGCUCGGGGAAGUAUCGACGGCCCUCCUGGACCCCGCAGCGGGCUUCGGGUGGUGUUGCCGCUGCCGCCGCCGUUCAGGGCUGCGAGCAUGAAGCCAAAAGGAUUUCCUCGCCGGUGGCCCACCGGCUUUUUGUUGUGGCUCGUAUUCUAAAACAUCACCACAAAAUACUUUUUUUUAAAAAAAAAAAAAAAAGAUUUUUAUUUAUUUAUUCAUGAGAGACACAGAGAGAAAGAAAGAGAGAGAGGCAGAGACACAGGCAGAGAGAGAAGCAGGCUCCACACAGGGAGCCCCAUGCGGGACUCGAUCCCGGGACUCCAGGAUCACACCCUGGGCCGAAGGCAGGCACCAAACCACUGAGCCAAUCAGGGAUCCCCCUCACCACAAAAUACUUAAUCCUUCUAGGCCUUUAGAAAUGUCAGAUCAGAAAGACAAAGAUAUUCUAAACAUAAAUCCGUGCCAUGAGCUCCUGCAGGUACAAUAGUUUACGAAUGAAAAGAUUUUGAAAUAAUUUGCACACUGAGAAACGCCAGUAGUGGUUUGAGGUCCAUUGUUUGUGUCUA
Molecule: long non-coding RNA, 1655 nt
Organism: Canis lupus familiaris (dog)
Lineage: Eukaryota; Metazoa; Chordata; Mammalia; Carnivora; Canidae
Exons: 5
Source: RefSeq, a predicted model, not a curated record